CGGGCCCGCGCCCCGGGCCGAGGCCUAGGCCGGCUCCGAUCCCGGGGCGGCCCUCGGGGGAGCGCGGGGAUGGGCGGAGGGACGGGCCUCGGCGCGGGCUGCAGCGGGGCGCCGCCGUGGGGCGGGACGGCCCCUGGCCUCCGGAGCCCGGCGGCUGCCUUCCUCGAAGCGCGCCGGAGGAGCGGCACGCGGUCUACCCUCGGCCCCAAAACCGGGGAGCUGACACGGAGGCACCGGCCUCGCAGAAGGGCGACGGGGAGACGCGCGACAGCGCAGGCACGAAAGCCACUGCGGGAGAGACGGCCGAGGGUCCCUGCUAACGGCCCGGCGUACCGGACGAGGGACCGAAGAUUCAGGAUGAUUUUGCACACUAUUUCCUAUGACUUACAAUUUUUAGGUAAGUAGAGCAUUUCUCACUGGGGUAUUCUGAUAUGGAUUUUUAAAGGUAUUCUACCUGUGCAAAUUUUUAGUGAUGCA
This 477-nucleotide long non-coding RNA is filed under the name Phasianus colchicus (ring-necked pheasant). RNAcentral describes it as "lncRNA (ENSPCLG00000001926.1)". Lineage: Eukaryota; Metazoa; Chordata; Aves; Galliformes; Phasianidae. The record is from RNAcentral.